UGGGGAAUAUUGCACAAUGGGCGCAAGCCUGAUGCAGCCAUGCCGCGUGUAUGAAGAAGGCCUUCGGGUUGUAAAGUACUUUCAGCGGGGAGGAAGGGAGUAAAGUUAAUACCUUUGCUCAUUGACGUUACCCGCAGAAGAAGCACCGGCUAACUCCGUGCCAGCAGCCGCGGUAAUACGGAGGGUGCAAGCGUUAAUCGGAAUUACUGGGCGUAAAGCGCACGCAGGCGGUUUGUUAAGUCAGAUGUGAAAUCCUCGGGCUCAAACUGGGAACUGCAUCUGAUACUGGCAAGCUUGAGUCUCGUAGAGGGGGGUAGAAUUCCAGGUGUAGCGGUGAAAUGCGUAGAGAUCUGGAGGAAUACCGGUGGCGAAGGCGGCCCCCUGGACGAAGACUGACGCUCAGGUGCGAAAGCGUGGGGAGCAAACAGG
RNAcentral lists this ribosomal RNA (429 nucleotides) under Chloroflexota bacterium. Its description in RNAcentral is "Chloroflexi bacterium partial 16S ribosomal RNA". It matches the Rfam family "Bacterial small subunit ribosomal RNA", at positions 355 to 776 of the family's 1533-position model. The record is from RNAcentral. Lineage: Bacteria; Bacillati; Chloroflexota.